UUCCAUUGAAUUCAACACAAUUGACACAGAAUAUUGACCCAGACUCUCAUUAAUCAGUAUCUUUGUGGGUUAGACAAAACAUCCUUAGAUUGGGUGAAGAAUUGGGGUUCAUUCUCAGGGCUGUGUGGAAAUAGUAGAGGAACAUAAAGACUGAUGGAAAUAGAGAAAGCUCCAUUAAAGAAGCGAAAGCCUUGAUUUCGAUGACUCCCAAAACAAAGUUUUGAAGGAACUGAAGAGAUUGGAAUUUGGAAAUAAUUUUUCGGUUACGGCAUGAGAAGCAGGGGAUGUAACAUGGACCAAAUUAAUGAGGGUUAAUAUCGUAUCAUGAAACGUGAGGGGUCUCGAUCUUGUCAGGAAGAGACUCAUGAUUAAAAGUUUGAUGCACAAUUGGAAAGCUGGCGUUUCCUGCUUUCAAGAGACAAAAUUACAAGGAGAUAUAAAGGAUAUUACCAAAGAUUUGUGGUCAAAUAGCUGGGUGAAAUGUGCAACUAGAAGCAAGUGGCACAAGAGGGGGCAUUAUUUGCAUGUGUAUAACUUGCAAAUUUGUGGGCAAAACACAAGAUUUUAGUUGGCAUAUGGCAGGAGUCUAUACUCCAAAUAGCAGAUCAGAAAGGGAGG
Molecule: long non-coding RNA, 618 nt
Filed under: Solanum tuberosum (potato)
Lineage: Eukaryota; Viridiplantae; Streptophyta; Magnoliopsida; Solanales; Solanaceae
Description: long non-coding RNA (STUB_LNC005857)
Source: RNAcentral